This is a long non-coding RNA of Gallus gallus (chicken), 703 nucleotides long. RefSeq lists it as uncharacterized. The record is from RefSeq and is a predicted model, not a curated record. The transcript is spliced from 4 exons. NCBI's taxonomy places the organism in Eukaryota, Metazoa, Chordata, Aves, Galliformes, Phasianidae.
CGCCAGGAGAGGCGAGGAGCAGCAUCACCAGAGUCAGGUCCCGAGAGACAGAGGUGAGGGCCAUGUUGCUCCUGCCUGAACUGCAACCGCUGCAGCAAAGCGGUGCAGGAUCUGCAGCAGCUGGUGCUAUCGGUGCUGCCGGAGCACGUGGCCACUCCAGGUGCUGAAUUCUGGGCUUGAGGGACCUGGAGGAGCUGGUGCAGCAGGGCAGCCUGUCCUGCUGCAGCUCUGCCAAUGACCAGAGCGAGGAGCAGCGUGGAGCAUCAGCUUGCGAGUCAAGUGCUGAGGGACAGACACGUGGGCCACGGUGCUCCUGCUCCAGCUGCAACCGCAGCAGCAAAGCGGUGCAGGAGCUGCAGCAGCUGGUGCUGUCGGGGCUGCCUGAGCACGUGGCCGCUCUAAGCCCUGAAUUCUGGGUGGUGGCCUGGACGGACCUGUUGGAGAGAGUGGAGUGGGGCAUCCUGUGCUGCUGCAUCUGCCCCGUACCAGAGAAAGGAGCGACGUGGAGCAGCAGUCCUGGAGUCAGGUGCUGACAGACAGAUGUCUGGGCCAUGGUGCUGCUGCCCCAGCUGCAACUGCUGUAGCAAAGCUGUGCAGCAGCUGUAGCUGGUGCUAUUGAGGCUGCCUGAGCACCUGGCCACUCUGGGCCCUGAGUUCUGGAUGCGGCCUGGCGGGACAUGGCAGAGCUGGUGAAGCAGGGCAA